GACGAACGCUGGCGGCGUGCCUAAUACAUGCAAGUAGAACGCUGAAGAGAGGAGCUUGCUCUUCUUGGAUGAGUUGCGAACGGGUGAGUAACGCGUAGGUAACCUGCCUUGUAGCGGGGGAUAACUAUUGGAAACGAUAGCUAAUACCGCAUAACAAUGGAUGACACAUGUCAUUUAUUUGAAAGGGGCAAUUGCUCCACUACAAGAUGGACCUGCGUUGUAUUAGCUAGUAGGUGAGGUAGUGGCUCACCUAGGCGACGAUACAUAGCCGACCUGAGAGGGUGAUCGGCCACACUGGGACUGAGACACGGCCCAGACUCCUACGGGAGGCAGCAGUAGGGAAUCUUCGGCAAUGGGGACAACCCUGACCGAGCAACGCCGCGUGAGUGAAGAAGGUUUUCGGAUCGUAAAGCUCUGUUGUAAGUCAAGAACGGGUGUGAGAGUGGAAAGUUCACACUGUGACGGUAGCUUACCAGAAAGGGACGGCUAACUACGUG
Molecule: ribosomal RNA, 497 nt
Filed under: uncultured bacterium
Lineage: Bacteria
Description: partial 16S ribosomal RNA
Rfam family: Bacterial small subunit ribosomal RNA
Source: RNAcentral